RNAcentral lists this transfer RNA (69 nucleotides) under human gut metagenome. It matches the Rfam family "tRNA". Rfam says of the family: Transfer RNA (tRNA) molecules are approximately 80 nucleotides in length. Their secondary structure includes four short double-helical elements and three loops (D, anti-codon, and T loops). The record is from RNAcentral.
CGAAAUGGCUCAGUUGGUAGAGCAAUUGAUUCGUAAUCAAUAGGUCGUGGGUUCGAGUCCCAUUUUCGG